Molecule: ribosomal RNA, 503 nt
Filed under: uncultured bacterium
Lineage: Bacteria
Description: partial 16S ribosomal RNA
Rfam family: Bacterial small subunit ribosomal RNA
Source: RNAcentral
AUUGAACGCUGGCGGCAGGCUUAACACAUGCAAGUCGAGCGGGGUGAUGGUGCUUGCACUAUCACUUAGCGGCGGACGGGUGAGUAAUGCUUAGGAAUCUGCCUAUUAGUGGGGGACAACAUCUCGAAAGGGAUGCUAAUACCGCAUACGUCCUACGGGAGAAAGCAGGGGAUCACUUGUGACCUUGCGCUAAUAGAUGAGCCUAAGUCGGAUUAGCUAGUUGGUGGGGUAAAGGCCUACCAAGGCGACGAUCUGUAGCGGGUCUGAGAGGAUGAUCCGCCACACUGGGACUGAGACACGGCCCAGACUCCGACGUGAUGCAGCAGUGGGGAAGAUUGGACAAUGGGGGGAACCCUGAUCCAGCCAUGCCUCUUGUGUGAAGAAGGCCUUAUGGUUGUAAAGCACUUUAAGCGAGGAGGAGGCUCUUUUGGUUAAUACCCAAGAUGAGUGGACGUUACUCGCAGAAUAAGCACCGGCUAACUCUGUGCCAGCCGCCGCCGUAA